This 257-nucleotide long non-coding RNA is filed under the name Lathyrus oleraceus (garden pea). Its description in RNAcentral is "Pisum sativum (pea) long non-coding RNA (PSAT_LNC013181)". The record is from RNAcentral. Lineage: Eukaryota; Viridiplantae; Streptophyta; Magnoliopsida; Fabales; Fabaceae.
GAGUUUUAGGGUUUUAGCCUUGUGUGAGCUUGUGUAUUGUGAGCCAUUCAUUCAUCUUAUUGAUGUAUGAAUUGGAUUGACUUUUGUGUUGUAACUUGUCCAUUCUAAGCUUUGAAGAACGAGUGUUUGUUUACUUGGUUGAAGCUUUUAAGCAAGAUCAAGUAUGUGUCCUUGAAGUGUGUCUUCUUUCUUUUGUAUUUGUUUUUAUAUCACUGUUGUGAUUGAGGGGGGUGAGUAGGGUCUCAUAUCUAAGAGUU